Molecule: ribosomal RNA, 447 nt
Filed under: uncultured bacterium
Lineage: Bacteria
Description: bacterial SSU rRNA
Rfam family: Bacterial small subunit ribosomal RNA
Source: RNAcentral
UGGGGAAUAUUGGACAAUGGGGGGAACCCUGAUCCAGCAAUGCCGCGUGAGUGAAGAAGGCCUUCGGGUUGUAAAGCUCUUUUACCAGGGACGAUAAUGACGGUACCUGGAGAAUAAGCCCCGGCAAACUUCGUGCCAGCAGCCGCGGUAAUACGAAGGGGGCUAGCGUUGUUCGGAAUUACUGGGCGUAAAGCGCACGUAGGCGGAUUGUUAAGUCAGAGGUGAAAUCCCGGAGCUCAACUUCGGAACUGCCUUUGAUACUGGCAAUCUAGAGUCCGGAAGAGGUUAGUGGAAUUCCCAGUGUAGAGGUGAAAUGCGUAGAUAUCAAGAGGAACACCUGAGGUGAAGACGGGUUGCUGGGCUGAUACUGACGCUGAGGCGCGAAAGCUAGGGUAGCAAACGGGAUUAGAUACCCAAGUAGUCCCUGAGCGGGCUGGCAAGGCGCAU